UACGUAGGUGGCAAGCGUUGUCCGGAUUUACUGGGCGUAAAGGAUGCGUAGGCGGACAUUUAAGUCAGAUGUGAAAUACCCGAGCUUAACUUGGGUGAUGCAUUUGAAACUGGGUGACUAGAGUGCAGGAGAGGUAAGUGGAAUUCCUAGUGUAGCGGUGAAAUGCGUAGAGAUUAGGAAGAACACCAGUGGCGAAGGCGACUUACUGGACUGUAACUGACGCUGAGGUAUGAAAGCGUGGGGAGCAAACAGG
Molecule: ribosomal RNA, 253 nt
Filed under: uncultured bacterium
Lineage: Bacteria
Description: partial 16S ribosomal RNA
Rfam family: Bacterial small subunit ribosomal RNA
Source: RNAcentral